This 254-nucleotide ribosomal RNA is filed under the name uncultured bacterium. RNAcentral describes it as "partial 16S ribosomal RNA". It matches the Rfam family "Bacterial small subunit ribosomal RNA", at positions 524 to 776 of the family's 1533-position model. The record is from RNAcentral.
UACGAAGGGGGCUAGCGUUGCUCGGAAUUACUGGGCGUAAAGCGCACGUAGGCGGACCAGCAAGUUAGGGGUGAAAUCCCGGGGCUCAACCCCGGAACUGCCUUUAAAACUGUUGGUCUGGAGGUCGAGAGAGGUGAGUGGAAUUCCCAGUGUAGAGGUGAAAUUCGUAGAUAUUGGGAAGAACACCGGUGGCGAAGGCGGCUCACUGGCUCAUAUCUGACGCUCAGGCGCGACAGCGUGGGGAGUCAAACAGG